Long non-coding RNA from Hydra vulgaris (swiftwater hydra), 2040 nucleotides. RefSeq lists it as uncharacterized. The record is from RefSeq and is a predicted model, not a curated record. NCBI's taxonomy places the organism in Eukaryota, Metazoa, Cnidaria, Hydrozoa, Anthoathecata, Hydridae.
UUAAAUUUCAAAAUGUUAUUAAAGACAAAAAAAAUGUUUUAAUGCAACUAUUGAUGUUUGGAUACCUUUUAAUAUUAAGAAAAACAAAUUUUCAUAAAAAAAAGAAAAACGAAUUUUUUAUUGUUAAAGAUCAAUUUUUUAUUUGUUAAAGAAGCAUUAAAAAACAGAAAUUUUCACAAAUGUUGCCUUGGCUAUUUCGUGCAUAAAUUAGAUAUGUAGUUUUAAGUCUAAUUUACUUAACAAAGUGCACCAACGAGAAGCUUCCGGAUAAAACAAUCCAUUUCAGAAUUUUCAAGACUGACUUUAUGGCUACACUGGACACUUGUUACUUAAAAUUUUCAACUCUUCAGCGGUGAAAAAGGACUGAUGUACACCCUUGAUCCGCCCCUGCAGUGAAAGCUGUAAAGUUAAAUGGAAGAAGCAUAGCCCAGGUGUCUCUAGAUUUUAACAUCAACUAUAGAAGCCUACAACGCUAUUUGUCAAAAGCCUAUAAAAGAUAUUAAAGAAAAAUCGACAAUACCUUCAUUUCACACUGGCUACGUACAACCUAGGCAAGUGUUGAUACAGGAGCUUCAUCUUGAACUCUGUAGCUACUUGCAAAGAGCUUCAGAUAUUUACUUUAGACUUACACUAAAAGAUAUUUGGAAAUUAGCAUAUCAAUUAGCAGAUGCUAAUAAAAUGGCAUUGCUAAAAUUAUGGAUGGACAAUCAUUGUACUGGGAGAGAUUGGUUCAUGUCUUUCCUACAAAAAAAUCCAACAUUGUCUUAAAGAGCUCCAGAGACCACAAGCAUUGCACGUGGUAUAAGAUUCAACAAACACAGUAUUGAAAUAUUUUCCGAACCUAUCUGGUCGGAUGAAGGAAGACACGUUUUGUAAAUUUCUUACUCAUUUAGCAAAGAAUCCAAAGGCUUUCAAAGGAGCAUCAAAUUUUGCUACUGGUUGACAAUCACUUUUCGCACUUAUCAUUGAAUGCACUAGACUAUGCGACAGCACAUGAAAUUAUCAUGUUAUGUUCUCCAACCCAUUGCGCCCACAAGUUGCAGCCACCAAAUAGAACUGUCUGUAAUGCCUUUAAAAAGUCUGUAAGUACAAUCAUCAACAGUUAAAUGGUCAGUAACCCUGGAAAAGAUAUGACAGUUUAUGAUAUACCAGAAAUAGUGAAGGUCAUCUUUCCAUUGAGUAUGACACCAAAUAACAUACUAAGCGGCUUUUUUUUCAUGAGGCAUGCACCUAUUUAACCCUCAAAUAUUUAUAGAUUUAGACUUUGCUCCAAGUUUAGCAACAGAAAUACCUAUGCCAUUCAAAACCAAUUCUCAAUUAACAAUGCCUCAAGCUUCAAAGGUCAGUGCCGACAACACGGUUGCCGCCUGCCACUCCCCCCUCGGAUCGUCCGCCCUCAUCGUAGCAUUGUUGAAACAAAUAAUUUGUCAGAAAUAUUAGUUUAAACAACAAUCAAAUAUGUUUGAUGGCAAAUAAACCAUUGCAGUAAAUGAAACCCAUAACAUUACAAGUUUGGAUGAUUCUGAUGUUGGAUGUGAAAAUAAAAAUGAUGUAACUGAUUUACACACUUUUCAGAAAACUGAAUAAUUUUCUGAAAAACUAGAAUUGAGUUAGAAUGUAAUAAUAAAUUAGAUCUUUAAGUACUUUAAGUUUUUAGUUCGGAUUAUGAUCUGAACAGUGUUUCCACUCUGCGUGAUUACGUUGUGUUUCCACUCUGCGUGAUUACGUUGUGUUUCCACUCUGCGUGAUUACGUUGUGUUUCCACUCUGCGUGAUUACGUUGUGUUUCCACUCUGCGUGAUUACGUUGUGUUUCCACUCUGCGUGAUUACGUUGUGUUUCCACUCUGCGUGAUUACGUUUUAUAAGAUUUUUCGAUCUGUUUUUGAUAUUUUUGAUUUUAUGUAAGAUUUCAUGAUUUUUGUAAGAAUUUUCUGUUUUGAAUAUAAAUUAACUUGUAAUAAAAAUAUUAUCACAAAUUUCUGAACUUACUUUAUAAAUCUAUUGUACAUUUAUAAAGUGUGGAAUAAAUGUUAUGAAGAA